This 337-nucleotide ribosomal RNA is filed under the name uncultured bacterium. Its description in RNAcentral is "bacterial SSU rRNA". It matches the Rfam family "Bacterial small subunit ribosomal RNA", at positions 8 to 334 of the family's 1533-position model. The record is from RNAcentral.
AGGGUUUGAUUAUGGCUCAGGAUGAACGCUAGCUACAGGCUUAACACAUGCAAGUCGAGGGGAAACGGCAGGGAGUGCUUGCACACUCUGGACGUCGACCGGCGCACGGGUGAGUAACGCGUAUCCAACCUGCCCACCACUUGGGGAUAACCUUGCGAAAGUAAGACUAAUACCCAAUGACGUCUCUAGAAGACAUCUGAAAGGGAUUAAAGAUUUAUCGGUGAUGGAUGGGGAUGCGUCUGAUUAGCUUGUUGGCGGGGUAACGGCCCACCAAGGCGACGAUCAGUAGGGGUUCUGAGAGGAAGGUCCCCCACAUUGGAACUGAGACACGGUCCAA